RNAcentral lists this ribosomal RNA (226 nucleotides) under uncultured bacterium. RNAcentral describes it as "partial 16S ribosomal RNA". It matches the Rfam family "Bacterial small subunit ribosomal RNA", at positions 30 to 253 of the family's 1533-position model. The record is from RNAcentral.
AUUGAACGCUGGCGGAAUGCCUUACACAUGCAAGUCGAACGGCAGCACGGGAGCAAUCCUGGUGGCGAGUGGCGAACGGGUGAGUAAUACAUCGGAACGUGCCCAAUCGUGGGGGAGUAACGUAGCGAAGACUACGCUAAUACCGCAUACGAUCUACGGAUGAAAGACAGGGACGUCGCAAGAGCCUUGCGCGAAUGGAGCGGCCGAUGGCAGAUUAGGAGUUGGU